Molecule: long non-coding RNA, 994 nt
Organism: Triticum aestivum (bread wheat)
Lineage: Eukaryota; Viridiplantae; Streptophyta; Magnoliopsida; Poales; Poaceae
Exons: 4
Source: RefSeq, a predicted model, not a curated record
GGAUAUUUCGCCAUCAUUUGAUGAAGCUUACCGCAGGAUUGAGGAGGAAGCAUUGAAGAGGAGGUCCUCAUGGAGUCAGGGGCAAUCAAGUUCUAACGUGCUUGCUGAGUCUAUAUCCAAGGAUACUGUUAGAAGUUCCACCCCUGGAUGUGUGAGGCAGAACAGGGUAGUUCACGCACCACCCACGGAUGACUAUGAGCCCGAAGCUCAUGUUCGGACAAAACCAAAAUCAUACAAUGUGAUGCGACAUACAUCGACAUGGGUAAUCUUGCUGAGAUCGUGAGGCCACUUGGUAAAAUGUCCAAGAAUGUAGUUGCGUGUGGGAUUGACUUCAUCAAUAGGCAUAUGGAGAUUUGUCCCGACAAGACGAUUAUGCAGUACAACAUGACCUGCAAAAUAUGGGAUGGUGACUUCCACCAUAAAAUCGCGAGGAAGCAUUUCACUGCGCAUGGUGAAUUCAAGCUCACACUGAAGAAAUAUGUCAUGUUCCCCAUGUUCCAGGAGCUUGCACCAGACAACCCAAAUGACAAGUGUGGUCACCAUUAUGCAAUUUGCCUUGACCUGAAGAACCAACGAUUUGAGGUGCUCGAUUCAAUGUGUUCAGAAGCUAAUGAGACCUUACUACACAUGCUGAAUUCUUUAUCAACAACCUGAAAGAGACAUGGAACCAUCAUUAUGAAAACUCAAGGGUCCAGAUUAGUCAUUUUCCAAUCGAGUAUGUCGCGACUACGAAGCAAGGAAACAGGCAUGACUGUGGAUUUCACACGCUGGAAUACCUUGCAAAGUGGGAAGGUCGACAGGUCCCUGUCAUCACAGUUGCAAUGGUCGUUGAGCUCCAUAAAAUAUACACAUGGAACUGGUUGAUGAAUGAAGAUUUCAACACGUGGGCAAACACAUGAGAGUUCAUAGAGGAAGCUGUGAAAAAGGCCAAUAAGAAGUACAAGUGAGCACGUGAUGCUCCAUACCGCAUGCCUACCUUACAAUAUGUGGCUGA